GCCCAUUUGUACAACAAUAUUCAUUGGUUUUUAUCACAGUACAUGGGUUGUUACAUCCACCUUGUGUUUUCAACUGUGCUGGGCAUUGUUCGUUAAUAGGUGCUGUGCAUCUGAGAUUACGACAUCCUCCAUUGGUCGGGCUGAAUUCCAUGGGGAUGUUAAAUCCAUCAACAAGAGAGAUGUCGACAAAGUCCUGAUUGGGUUGAUUAAGUGCAAAUUCAGCUAAAGUGUUAGGUGCUUUUCCAUAGCCUUGACACUCUAACAUCCCGUUACAGUCUCCAGUCUCACAAUUACCUCGGCCACUGCCAUCGAAGUUGCAAUUGGUUCGACCCCAAAUGCGAGCCUGGACUGUUCCUGGGUUCACAUUA
Molecule: long non-coding RNA, 368 nt
Filed under: Nicotiana tabacum (common tobacco)
Lineage: Eukaryota; Viridiplantae; Streptophyta; Magnoliopsida; Solanales; Solanaceae
Description: long non-coding RNA (NTAB_LNC001875)
Source: RNAcentral